AAGUCGUAACAAGGUUUCCGUAGGUGAACCUGCGGAAGGAUCAUUAAAACCCCUGUGAACCUACAGUCCUAUUCUUGUGCGCCCGUUCGGACAGCAAUCCCUAGUAAAUCAUUAGUUUGAUUUAGGGACCUCUGUACGGAAGGACUGCGGUUUGCGUGCAAUUGAGUGGUAGCGCAAGCAUCCUGGUGCCUUCUAGACGGUUAUCGUGUGGAAGUGACGAUAACGCUACCGUGUGUCAGUGACGGUAACCUGUCAACGAGGUGACUCCUAAACACGUUUGCUAGAGGUCCACACGACCGGCAACCGGGAUCCAGGCCGAAAGGUCCCUAACCACCCCUCGCAAGAAUUUAGCGUGCACCUAACGGUCGUACGCACCCCCAAACUGAACAACUGUUAACAAUGGAUAUCUUGGUUCUC
RNAcentral lists this unclassified non-coding RNA (417 nucleotides) under fungal sp. Its description in RNAcentral is "partial internal transcribed spacer region". The stretch from base 1 to 46 matches the Rfam family "Eukaryotic small subunit ribosomal RNA", at positions 1786 to 1831 of the family's 1831-position model. The record is from RNAcentral. Lineage: Eukaryota; Fungi.